This 253-nucleotide ribosomal RNA is filed under the name uncultured bacterium. RNAcentral describes it as "partial 16S ribosomal RNA". It matches the Rfam family "Bacterial small subunit ribosomal RNA", at positions 524 to 776 of the family's 1533-position model. The record is from RNAcentral.
GACAGAGGGUGCAAACGUUGUUCGGAAUUACUGGGCGUAAAGCGCGUGUAGGCUGCUCGAUAAGUCGGAUGUGAAAGCCCUGGGCUCAACCUAGGAAGUGCAUUCGAAACUGCCGAGCUGGAGUCCCGGAGAGGAAGGCGGAAUUCUCGGUGUAGAGGUGAAAUUCGUAGAUAUCGAGAGGAACACCGGUGGCGAAGGCGGCCUUCUGGACGGCGACUGACGCUAAGACGCGAAAGCGUGGGGAGCAAACAGG